This 504-nucleotide ribosomal RNA is filed under the name uncultured bacterium. RNAcentral describes it as "partial 16S ribosomal RNA". It matches the Rfam family "Bacterial small subunit ribosomal RNA", at positions 28 to 507 of the family's 1533-position model. The record is from RNAcentral.
GACGAACGCUGGCGGCGUGCUUAACACAUGCAAGUCGAACGGUGAAGCGCUUGCCUUUUUGGUGGGUGUGGAUGAGUGGCGAACGGGUGAGUAACACGUGAGUAACCUGCCCUCUUCUUCUGGAUAACCUCAUGAAAGUGGGGCUAAUACGGGGUAUUCCGUGUCUGUCGCAUGGCGGGUUUGGGAAAGAUUGCGCCUUUGGGUGUUUUCGGUGGGGGCUGGGCUCGCGGCCUAUCAGCUUGUUGGUGGUGUGAUGGCCUACCAAGGCGGUGACGGGUAGCCGGACUGAGAGGUUGGACGGCCACGCUGGGACGGGGACACGGCGCAGACUCCUGCGGGAGGCAGCAGUGGGGAAGAUUGGACAAUGGGCGCAAGACUGAUGCAGCGACGCCGCGUGAGAGAUGGAGGCCGUCGGGUUGUGAACCUGUUUCGCCAGUGAAGCAGGCCUGCUCCUGUGUGGGUGGGUUGACGGUAGCUGGAUAAGAAGCGCCGGCUAACUACGUG